GCGUUUUUGCGUUGCGGAUCCGGGAGACCGGAGGCCCUUGCGGUGGGUCUCGCGUUCGGAAGCUUCGCCGGAUGUGGUGAUGGUGACCGGAGCGGAGUCGGAGUUGGGGCUACAGGCCCUGUUUUCGGAUUAUGGUUUGUGGUGGUUCAUCUAUCUUCGUGUCUUUGGUGUGUUGGAGCCAUGAUGAAGGUAUGGAGCUGACUUUUCCGUGGGGAUUGUCCCCGACCGAUAUGCCGGAAUCUGACAUCGGUUCCCGUUGGAUGGGGAAGGACCUAUUAUGCGGCCUCAAAAGCCAUAGAUGGCGAUGCGGGGAAAUGGCUUCUUUCGGCUCGAGCAGACGACGAGCGGCCGGCCGGCAGGUGGUUAAGGCGAGCCUGGAGUUUAAUGUUGUAAGGAUCGUUGUGCUUAGGUUGCAGGGCUUGUGGUCUGUUUCCGUCUUUGUUUGUGUACGGAGUGCUUGUAUUUGUUGUUGUCAUGUACUGCGUAUAAGAAUAUGAAUACAAGCAUCCUUUUCUAAACAAGAGACAAUGGCGACCGGGGCGCAUCAGCUUCCCAUGCUUGUCGCAGCCUCCCCGCGUGGGACCCAAUUGGGCAUGCUGCUGCCUUCCAG
This 610-nucleotide long non-coding RNA is filed under the name Triticum aestivum (bread wheat). RNAcentral's name for it is "long non-coding RNA (TAES_LNC018283)". The record is from RNAcentral. Lineage: Eukaryota; Viridiplantae; Streptophyta; Magnoliopsida; Poales; Poaceae.